UGUUUCCUUUUGAGCAAGUUAAGUUAGACAUCACAGUACUUAGUAAUGCUUGCUACUACUCCCUCCGUUCCAAAUUAUUGAACUAAAACCACAACGAGUAAUUUGGAACGGAGGGAGUAGUAUAUGACAUGAACAAGCCUUGCAUGGUGACGAUAGCCCUUGAUACAUUUUGCUUCUUUCAAUAACUUCUAUGAGCAAUGCCAGCCCUGAUUGCCCUGUUACCUGCUUCUGUCUAUAUAUGAAUGUUACAUCUGUGCUGAUCUUGUCUGAAAACAAUCACAAUCUGAUAGUUUCUGUAACCAGCUGUGUAAGAAACUUUUGGUGCAAUUUAAGGGCAAGUUCAAUCAAUACUUGUACAGUCCAUCUUGCAAUUUAGAAUGUGUCCAUUACACACACGUGCGAUUCAGGAUGAUAUGUCUUCGUUCAAAUAUCCUAAGCCCAGGAUAAUGUACCUAUCUACAUAGUCUUACAUUUAACGGGUUAGCUUGAGCAAAUUUAUCAGUCACAGCAGAAGGUAACAGUUUAGCUUCGAGUUCAAAGGAUGAUAUCGAACUAGCAGUGGGUCUUGUGAGCUUCUGUUUAGACAGGCUAACUGUUACAGACUUUAUCAUGCUCUGUGUGUGUGUGUUCUUUAUGGUGCUUUUGGUCUGGUUGCAGUAAUGUCGUCGUAUUUUAUGUUUCAAAAGUUGACGUUGCCUUGCUAUGAUCAAUCCAUGCGGACGGAAUAAAUAGUCUAUUAGUUCAGUUGUGAUAAUGAUCUGGCGACUGGUGUCUGGUGGCACAUAAACUUUAACUGACUGAGUUGGUGUAUUCAUAUACAGAUAGAUGGGCUUGUGUGGAUGCUGCUGGUGGUUUUUUUGCUUGUCACAAAUUUGUUGGCAUACUGAAUGAAGACCGGUUUCUUGGUCCCAGGGGAUGGAGCAUGUCUGAAGUUUGAGGAAACAUAAACAAAGUCAUCGAGGGCAGAUCAUGGGGCUCAUGUACGCCACUCAGUUCUCGCGGGUGCCUUUUGAUAGCGCUCGAUGUUCUUAUCAUUUUCGUGAAGUUGGCGUCAGGCAGAGGGUCGGUGUCGGCUGUUGUUGGGGUUGAACUGAUUUCAGUCCCAGCAUUAUUAGGUAAAAACUAAUCAUGUUCGAAAGCUGCCGCAAGAAUGUUCGCGCUGACUUGAAUGUGGCUUGUUGGUAUUGUCGCUGUAAAUUUGUUCUGGACACCCUAUGAGGGUAUCUUCCUGUAUUACUUCUGACUCAUAUUGGGAUUGAUUGAUCAUGAACAUGGUAAAUUGCAUGUAUUUGCUAGAACUACACUGGAAAGAUUUCAUUGGCCAGGCAAAACAAAAUAUGCAAUGUAUUUUCUUCAAUAUUUCAUCCUCAAGGAAAUAAAUGCAUGCAGUUCCU
Molecule: long non-coding RNA, 1394 nt
Filed under: Triticum aestivum (bread wheat)
Lineage: Eukaryota; Viridiplantae; Streptophyta; Magnoliopsida; Poales; Poaceae
Description: long non-coding RNA (TAES_LNC009905)
Source: RNAcentral